RNAcentral lists this transfer RNA (72 nucleotides) under Prevotella sp. RNAcentral describes it as "tRNA-OTHER". Lineage: Bacteria; Pseudomonadati; Bacteroidota; Bacteroidia; Bacteroidales; Prevotellaceae. The record is from RNAcentral.
GGACACACGUAGAAAUAUCACUUAGACAGACUCAUAAUCUGGAGGUCCCAGGUUCAAGCCCUGGCUGGUCCA